Corticium candelabrum is the source of this 313-nucleotide long non-coding RNA. RefSeq lists it as uncharacterized. Lineage: Eukaryota; Metazoa; Porifera; Homoscleromorpha; Homosclerophorida; Plakinidae. The record is from RefSeq and is a predicted model, not a curated record. The transcript is spliced from 3 exons.
UCUCUAAUCCAAUUGAAGAAUUUCUAAAGAGAGUAGAUUUUUGUCAGUCUGCAUCAUGGAACUUCUCUCCGAAACCGAUACAGUUUUUUGAAUAUGAGAUUCGUUAUCCAAUGGGUCCUGUCAUUGUCGACUUUUUUUUUGGUGGGAGAGGAUCCUAUGGAGUGCAUUUCCAACUCGGCAUCUGCAUUUUGUCAAGUCAAGCAAAGAUUACAGUGACACCAUAUGCAGGAAUCCAAGUGUAUGGUGGAGUACGUGUUGGCAUUCUGAUUUUCUUUGUUGAAGUAAGCAUCCAUGGUCAAAUUCUUGACGUACG